Molecule: ribosomal RNA, 448 nt
Filed under: uncultured organism
Description: partial 16S ribosomal RNA
Rfam family: Bacterial small subunit ribosomal RNA
Source: RNAcentral
ACACUCCUACGGGAGGUAGCAGUGGGGAAUAUUGGACAAUGGGCGCAAGCCUGAUCCAGCCAUGCCGCGUGAGUGAUGAAGGCCCUAGGGUUGUAAAGCUCUUUCACCGGUGAAGAUAAUGACGGUAACCGGAGAAGAAGCCCCGGCUAACUUCGUGCCAGCAGCCGCGGUAAUACGAAGGGGGCUAGCGUUGUUCGGAUUUACUGGGCGUAAAGCGCACGUAGGCGGACUAUUAAGUCAGGGGUGAAAUCCCGGGGCUCAACCCCGGAACUGCCUUUGAUACUGGUAGUCUUGAGUUCGAGAGAGGUGAGUGGAAUUCCGAGUGUAGAGGUGAAAUUCGUAGAUAUUCGGAGGAACACCAGUGGCGAAGGCGGCUCACUGGCUCGAUACUGACGCUGAGGUGCGAAAGCGUGGGGAGCAAACAGGAUUAGAAACCCCGGUAGUCCCA